AGAGUUUGAUCCUGGCUCAGGAUGAACGCUAGCGGCAGGCUUAAUACAUGCAAGUCGGACGGUAACAGACCUGGCAACGGGUGCUGACGAGUGGCGCACGGGUGCGUAACACGUAUGCAACCUACCCUGUACUGGGGGAUAACCCUGAGAAAUCGGGGCUAAUACCCCAUGGUAUUGUGAAGUGGCAUCACUUUACAAUUAAAGAUUCAUUGGUACGGGAUGGGCAUGCGCCCCAUUAGUUAGUUGGUGAGGUAACGGCUCACCAAGGCGGUGAUGGGUAGGGGUUCUGAGAGGAUUAUCCCCCACACUGGUACUGAGACACGGACCAGACUCCUACGGGAGGCAGCAGUAAGGAAUAUUGGGCAAUGGAGGCAACUCUGACCCAGCCAUGCCGCGUGCAGGAAGACGGCCCUAUGGGUUGUAAACUGCUUUU
This 433-nucleotide ribosomal RNA is filed under the name uncultured prokaryote. RNAcentral's name for it is "bacterial SSU rRNA". It matches the Rfam family "Bacterial small subunit ribosomal RNA", at positions 8 to 437 of the family's 1533-position model. The record is from RNAcentral.